CCACGAUAGUGUAUACGUGUUAGUUGGACUCACGUGCUAGUCACAUAGAAUAAAAUAUAAUUAGAAAAACAUAUUUUCUCCUCUCUACCUUAUAAUUUUUAUCUUUUUUCUGUCUACCUAAGAGGAGAAAAUAUGGUUUUUAAUUUUAAUUUUUAUAUAUGUUUGACAUGUGGAUUCCACUGACACGUAGACGUCACCGUGGCAUU
Molecule: microRNA precursor, 206 nt
Filed under: Oryza sativa (Asian cultivated rice)
Lineage: Eukaryota; Viridiplantae; Streptophyta; Magnoliopsida; Poales; Poaceae
Description: miR5153 stem-loop (osa-MIR5153)
Source: miRBase by way of RNAcentral